AGCAGCCGCGGUAAUUCCAGCUCCAAUAGCGUAUAUUAAAGUUGUUGCAGUUAAAAAGCUCGUAGUUGAAUUUCGGGGUUAGUAGGUUGGUCGUGCCACUGGUAUGUACUGGCUCUACUGAUCCCUCCUUCUUGUAGAACCGUAAUGCCAUUAACUUGGUGUUGCGGGGAAACAGGACUGUUACUUUGAAAAAAUUAGAGUGUUUAAAGCAGGCUAACGCUUGAAUACAUUAGCAUGGAAUAAUGAAAUAGGACGCUCGAUCCUAUUUUGUUGGUUUCUAGGAUUGACGUAAUGAUUAAUAGGGAUAGUUGGGGGCAUUAGUAUUCAAUUGUCAGAGGUGAAAUUCUUGGAUUUAUUGAAGACUAACUACUGCGAAAGCAUUUGCCAAGGAUGUUUUCAUUAAUCAAGAACGAAAGUUAGGGGAUCGAAGACGAUCAGAUACCGUCGUAGUCUUAACCAUAAACUAUGCCGACUAGGGAUCGGAUGAUGUUAAUUUUUUAAUGACUCAUUCGGCGCCUUACG
Molecule: ribosomal RNA, 522 nt
Filed under: uncultured Glomus
Lineage: Eukaryota; Fungi; Glomeromycota; Glomeromycetes; Glomerales; Glomeraceae
Description: SSU rRNA
Rfam family: Eukaryotic small subunit ribosomal RNA
Source: RNAcentral